Physeter macrocephalus (sperm whale) is the source of this 2156-nucleotide long non-coding RNA. RefSeq lists it as uncharacterized. The record is from RefSeq and is a predicted model, not a curated record. The transcript has 5 exons. NCBI's taxonomy places the organism in Eukaryota, Metazoa, Chordata, Mammalia, Artiodactyla, Physeteridae.
AUUUUGGGGAUAACAUAUAUGCUAAUUAUUUGGAUUUAAUAAUAGGAGUAAAGCAAUACACAACUUUUUUGUCCUUUUGGAAUUUUUCAUCUUCAAAUGCCCCUAGUGGUUAAACAACUGAUUCGACAUGUUUAAGAAAUACCAGUUUCUCAACUUUGUAGGCUGACAAUUUGGCUUCUGAUGUGAAGUUACUCGUAACAAAAUAAAAUAGAUAUGUAUCAGUCAUAAACAUUAACAAUUCUCCAUUCACCCCACCCUGCUUCACCCGUAAGGUUAUUCGUUAUUCGGAAUGUGUUUCUUUAAUGAAAUUAACAUUAGUUAACGCUAUCUAAUAAAAUGUAAAUUAGUCUGUAAAAACAUGGUUUUGAAUAGAUUCAAUAUGGAAAACAAAGUUAAAUAAUAGGUGUUAAAAUAUCUAUGAAGAACUUCGCCCAACUGGCGGGAAGCGGGGAGGAGACAUUUUCACCAGUAGAAACGCUGGCAUCCUCAGCAGGAAACUGGAGUGGAUUAUAAAUCGCACUCCCUACUCAAACCCAGGCCCUUCCUCUGGACACUGAUGCUUCUCGACGCCCCUGCAACUUGCCAGUGUACCUGAGACUAUGCUAGACGGAGAUUAAAUUCGUCCUUGGCCCUUAAUGUACUGGAAACAAGUUGGUCAAGCCAGGUGUCGAGUUGAGAAGGGACCCAAGUCGUGGAGUUCCAGGUUUCAGGGCUGGUAAAGGUUUACGGAGCGCCUCAGCAAAGGCGCAGGAACAGAGUAUUGUGUAGCGUAGCUCUUCGUUAGCAAAGGUUUCUUAAGCUGACUUCCAACGGGCAGACUUUCCUUCACGCCUCUCAGCUUGGUCCCACUGCAGGAAGAGGAUGUUGGCGGACUCCAGGUGCCUGAAGCUCAAAGGCCCACUGCUCAGGGCUGGCAUCAGAACCGAGCCCAGGGUGUGCUAAGUAUGGAGGCGAGGUAAUUGUUACACUGUUGGCAGUGCAAUUACACUUGGAACCGUUUCCCAGCAGUCGUUAAGCCCUCCCUAGCUCUGGGCCUCUUCUACUCCAGGGGCUCCAAUUUCAGGGAAAGUCUCCCCUACGAACCUGGAAACACGCAGAUAAAAAGAAACGCAGCCGGACUGCAAUCCCCAGAAACCGUCGCGGGCCUUCAGCAUCCGGGACACCGUCUGCAAGGAUCCCUGGGUAGUGUGGUCCGUUCCUUCGGCAGCAACCCUCUGCUGACGGUAAAAUUCCAGCCGAACCUGGGACCACAACUCCCAGCAACCCUUGCUGCCGUGCGGGGGGUCUUCACGUUCUCGUGGCGCGGCGCAGGCGCACUGGGGCCUCGGCGCGGACCGCGCAGACUGAAUAAUAAAAGGGGAGCGGCGAAGAGGCAGGAAGACAGGACCAUGUCGAAGGGCCCAGGGCCCGGCGGCUCCGCAGCUUCCUCGGCGCCCCCGGCCGCUACCGCUCAGGUGCUGCAGGCACAGCCCGAGAAACCGCAGCACUACACCUAUGUUAGAUACUAAAGAAGGCUUCCCCACAAUCCAUAUGCAUCUGCUUUGACUGGUGGUUUCUAUCAACCUACAAAGACUGUGGCUUAUUGGUGAGGGCAGCUGGACAACUCUGAGAGCAACUUAGAGAAAUCCAUCUUGGGCACACUCUAUAAAGGAGCUCCUUCUCUGCAAAUAGCACCCCAGAUAAGUGCACAAAAGCAAGACACCCUCGUGGACCUACUUCCUCCCGCUUUCAACACCCUGAUGCCUGAAGCUGUGCUUGAUACUAAAGGAGGUUUUCCCACAUAUGCAUCUUCUAUAUUUUGAAAUUACAACUAUGGACAGUUAUGGCUAAUCAUAGUAGAUUGUCUUCCCUUCUUUUAACACCUUGGAUGAAUUUUGGGGCACACUAAUGUGUUAUGUGAAGAUGGAUGUUGAAUAUACUCUAUAGAUUCACCCCAGCCAGCCAUCUUAAAAUACCUGCAUGGGCAACAGAGAGAUCUACGGAGAAAGUUUGGGUAAAAUCAUUGCAUAUGAAAAUAGUGUGUAGAAUUUGACAGCAGUAUCAAGAGCUGAUGAGGAGGAGAAGAUGGAAAGGAGUCUAGCAACUUAAAAAUCUCAUAGCGUUCUCUGUGAGGUGACCUUUUUCCUGUUGGUGGCUCAAUUUAUUUAGGAGACAAA